Molecule: microRNA precursor, 97 nt
Filed under: Marmota monax (woodchuck)
Lineage: Eukaryota; Metazoa; Chordata; Mammalia; Rodentia; Sciuridae
Source: RNAcentral
AGUGGAAUUGAUGGAUUAUUUUGUAACUGUUUAACUUUUCAAGGAACUGCCAAAUUGUUUUCUAAAAUGGCAGCACCAUUUCAAUUUUACCAGCACU